CUGCGAAUACCGGAGAAUGUUAUCACGGGAGACACACGGCGGGUGCUAACGUCCGUCGUGAAGAGGGAAACAACCCAGACCGCCAGCUAAGGUCCCAAAGUCAUGGUUAAGUGGGAAACGAUGUGGGAAGGCCCAGACAGCCAGGAUGUUGGCUUAGAAGCAGCCAUCAUUUAAAGAAAGCGUAAUAGCUCACUGGUCGAGUCGGCCUGCGCGGAAGAUGUAACGGGGCUAAACCAUGCACCGAAGCUGCGGCAGCGACGCUUAUGCGUUGUUGGGUAGGGGAGCGUUCUGUAAGCCUGUGAAGGUGUGCUGUGAGGCAUGCUGGAGGUAUCAGAAGUGCGAAUGCUGACAUAAGUAACGAUAAAGCGGGUGAAAAGCCCGCUCGCCGGAAGACCAAGGGUUCCUGUCCAACGUUAAUCGGGGCAGGGUGAGUCGACCCCUAAGGCGAGGCCGAAAGGCGUAGUCGAUGGGAAACAGGUUAAUAUUCCUGUACUUGGUGUUACUGCGAAGGGGGGACGGAGAAGGCUAUGUUGACCGGGCGACGGUUGUCCCGGUUUAAGCGUGUAGGCUGGUUUUCCAGGCAAAUCCGGAAAAUCAAGGCUGAGGCGUGAUGACGAGGCACUACGGUGCUGAAGCAACAAAUGCCCUGCUUCCAGGAAAAGCCUCUAAGCAUCAGGUAACAUCAAAUCGUACCCCAAACCGACACAGGUGGUCAGGUAGAGAAUACCAAGGCGCUUGAGAGAACUCGGGUGAAGGAACUAGGCAAAAUGGUGCCGUAACUUCGGGAGAAGGCACGCUGAUAUGUAGGUGAAGCGACUUGCUCGUGGAGCUGAAAUCAGUCGAAGAUACCAGCUGGCUGCAACUGUUUAUUAAAAACACAGCACUGUGCAAACACGAAAGUGGACGUAUACGGUGUGACGCCUGCCCGGUGC
RNAcentral lists this ribosomal RNA (932 nucleotides) under Escherichia coli. RNAcentral describes it as "partial 23S ribosomal RNA". It matches the Rfam family "Bacterial large subunit ribosomal RNA", at positions 954 to 1869 of the family's 2925-position model. Lineage: Bacteria; Pseudomonadati; Pseudomonadota; Gammaproteobacteria; Enterobacterales; Enterobacteriaceae. The record is from RNAcentral.